CGGGGGGCGGGCCUACACAUGCAGUCGAGCGGUAGCACAGAGAGCUUGCUCUCGGGUGACGAGCGGCGGACGGGUGAGUAAUGUCUGGGAAACUGCCUGAUGGAGGGGGAUAACUACUGGAAACGGUAGCUAAUACCGCAUAACGUCGCAAGACCAAAGUGGGGGACCUUCGGGCCUCAUGCCAUCAGAUGUGCCCAGAUGGGAUUAGCUAGUAGGUGGGGUAAUGGCUCACCUAGGCGACGAUCCCUAGCUGGUCUGAGAGGAUGACCAGCCACACUGGAACUGAGACACGGUCCAGACUCCUACGGGAGGCAGCAGUGGGGAAUAUUGCACAAUGGGCGCAAGCCUGAUGCAGCCAUGCCGCGUGUAUGAAGAAGGCCUUCGGGUUGUAAAGUACUUUCAGCGAGGAGGAAGGCAUUAAGGUUAAUAACCUUGGUGAUUGACGUUACUCGCAGAAGAAGCACCGGCUAACUCCGUGCCAGCAGCCGCGGUAAUACGGAGGGUGCAAGCGUUAAUCGGAAUUACUGGGCGUAAAGCGCACGCAGGCGGUCUGUCAAGUCGGAUGUGAAAUCCCCGGGCUCAACCUGGGAACUGCAUUCGAAACUGGCAGGCUAGAGUCUUGUAGAGGGGGGUAGAAUUCCAGGUGUAGCGGUGAAAUGCGUAGAGAUCUGGAGGAAUACCGGUGGCGAAGGCGGCCCCCUGGACAAAGACUGACGCUCAGGUGCGAAAGCGUGGGGAGCAAACAGGAUUAGAUACCCUGGUAGUCCACGCCGUAAACGAUGUCGACUUGGAGGUUGUGCCCUUGAGGCGUGGCUUCCGGAGCUAACGCGUUAAGUCGACCGCCUGGGGAGUACGGCCGCAAGGUUAAAACUCAAAUGAAUUGACGGGGGCCCGCACAAGCGGUGGAGCAUGUGGUUUAAUUCGAUGCAACGCGAAGAACCUUACCUACUCUUGACAUCCAGAGAACUUAGCAGAGAUGCUUUGGUGCCUUCGGGAACUCUGAGACAGGUGCUGCAUGGCUGUCGUCAGCUCGUGUUGUGAAAUGUUGGGUUAAGUCCCGCAACGAGCGCAACCCUUAUCCUUUGUUGCCAGCGGUUCGGCCGGGAACUCAAAGGAGACUGCCAGUGAUAAACUGGAGGAAGGUGGGGAUGACGUCAAGUCAUCAUGGCCCUUACGAGUAGGGCUACACACGUGCUACAAUGGCAUAUACAAAGAGAAGCGACCUCGCGAGAGCAAGCGGACCUCAUAAAGUAUGUCGUAGUCCGGAUUGGAGUCUGCAACUCGACUCCAUGAAGUCGGAAUCGCUAGUAAUCGUAGAUCAGAAUGCUACGGUGAAUACGUUCCCGGGCCUUGUACACACCGCCCGUCACACCAUGGGAGUGGGUUGCAAAAGAAGUAGGUAGCUUAACCUUCGGGAGGGCGCUUACCACUUGGAUUACC
Molecule: ribosomal RNA, 1440 nt
Filed under: Klebsiella aerogenes
Lineage: Bacteria; Pseudomonadati; Pseudomonadota; Gammaproteobacteria; Enterobacterales; Enterobacteriaceae
Description: bacterial SSU rRNA
Rfam family: Bacterial small subunit ribosomal RNA
Source: RNAcentral